AGCAGCCGCGGUAAUUCCAGCUCCAAUAGCGUAUAUUAAAGUUGUCGCAGUUAAAAAGCUCGUAGUUGAAUUUCGGGGUUAGUAGGUUGGUCAUGCCUCUGGUAUGUACUGGUCUCACUGAUUCCUCCUUCCUGAUGAGCCGUAAUGCCAUUAAUUUGGUGUUGCGGGAAUCUGGACUGUUACUUUGAAAAAUUAGAGUGUUUAAAGCAAGCUAACGCUUGAAUACAUUAGCAUGGAAUAAUGAAAUAGGACGUUCGAUCCUAUUUUGUUGGUUUCUAGGAUUGACGUAAUGAUUAAUAGGGAUAGUUGGGGGCAUUAGUAUUCAAUUGUCAGAGGUGAAAUUCUUGGAUUUAUUGAAGACUAACUACUGCGAAAGCAUUUGCCAAGGUAUGUU
This 394-nucleotide ribosomal RNA is filed under the name uncultured Glomeromycotina. Its description in RNAcentral is "SSU rRNA". It matches the Rfam family "Eukaryotic small subunit ribosomal RNA", at positions 569 to 968 of the family's 1831-position model. The record is from RNAcentral. Lineage: Eukaryota; Fungi; Glomeromycota.